AUUCCAGCUCCAAUAGCGUAUAUUAAAGUUGUUGCGGUUAAAAAGCUCGUAGUUGGAGUUCUGCCAGGUGACGCUCGUCCGCCCAAGUGGUGUGUACAGGGCGUGCAUCUGGCCCUUUCAAGGGGAACGUGUCUGCUCUUUAUUGAGUGGUGCGAGAUCCUUGACUUUUACUUUGAGGAAAUCAGAGUGUUCCAAGCAGGCUCUCGUCGUGUAUAGCUCAGCAUGGAAUAAUAGCAUUAGACUUCGUUUCUAAGCUGUUGGUUGCAAGAAGCGAGGUAAUGAUGAAGAGGGAUAGUUGGGGGCAUUCGUAUUUAACUGUCAGAGGUGAAAUUCUUGGACCGUUUGAAGACAAACUACUGCGAAAGCAUUUGCCAAGAAUGUUUUCAUUG
RNAcentral lists this ribosomal RNA (389 nucleotides) under Syndiniales sp. RNAcentral's name for it is "partial small subunit ribosomal RNA". It matches the Rfam family "Eukaryotic small subunit ribosomal RNA", at positions 582 to 975 of the family's 1831-position model. Lineage: Eukaryota; Dinophyceae; Syndiniales. The record is from RNAcentral.